GAUGAACGCUAGCGGCAGGCCUAAUACAUGCAAGUCGAACGGGAUCCAGAUCAAAGCUUGCUUUGGUUUGGUGAGAGUGGCGCACGGGUGCGUAACGCGUGAGCAACCUACCCUUGUCAGGGGGAUAGCCCGGCGAAAGUCGGAUUAAUACCGCAUGACAUCAUUGAGAGGCAUCUUUCGAUGAUCAAAGAUUUAUCGGACAAGGAUGGGCUCGCGUGACAUUAGCUAGUUGGUAAGGUAACGGCUUACCAAGGCUACGAUGUCUAGGGGCUCUGAGGGGAGCAUCCCCCACACGGGUACUGGCACACGGACCACUGACCUACGGCAGGCAGCAGUAAGGAAUAUUGGUCAAUGGACGGUAGUCUGAACCAGCCAUGCCGCGUGCAGGAAGACCGCCCUAUGGGUGGUAAACUGCUUUUAUACGGGAACAAACGUCGGUACGGGUACCGGUCUGAGUGUACCGUAAGAAUAAGGAUCGGCUAACUCCGUG
RNAcentral lists this ribosomal RNA (490 nucleotides) under uncultured bacterium. RNAcentral describes it as "partial 16S ribosomal RNA". It matches the Rfam family "Bacterial small subunit ribosomal RNA", at positions 28 to 507 of the family's 1533-position model. The record is from RNAcentral.